GGGCGUCUCUAUCUCAUUGCGAGAGGAGGCGCACCUAGAGCGUACACGCUGAUACCCGAAAGAUGGUGAACUAUGCCUGGCCAGGACGAAGCCAGGGGAAACCCUGGUGGAGGUCCGCAGCGAUUCUGACGUGCAAAUCGAUCGUCGGAGCUGGGUUUAGGGGCGAAAGACCAAUCGAACCAUCUAGUAGCUGGUUCCCUCUGAAGUUUCCCUCAGGAUAGCUUGCGCUCGGACGAGACGAGUCUCAUCCGGUAGAGCGAAUGAUUAGAGGCCUUGGGGUCGAAACGACCUCAACCUAUUCUCAAACUCCAAAUAGAUGAGAACCCUGGCUUUCUUGAAUUUUUCUAUGAAGCCAGGGGUUCGGAUCAGAGUGCCAAGUGGGCCAAUUUU
RNAcentral lists this ribosomal RNA (390 nucleotides) under Myiomma kukai. Its description in RNAcentral is "eukaryotic LSU rRNA". It matches the Rfam family "Eukaryotic large subunit ribosomal RNA", at positions 763 to 1138 of the family's 3401-position model. The record is from RNAcentral. Lineage: Eukaryota; Metazoa; Arthropoda; Insecta; Hemiptera; Miridae.